UCCGGAGUUUCUCCGGCAGUCUCACAUGAGUGCUCGGCAUAACCCGGUGGCGACAUGUGACGGGGGUUGCGCUCGUUGCGGCACUUAAGCCAACACCUCACGACACGAGCUGACGACAGCCAUGCAGCACCUGUCUCCAGGUUCCCGAAGGCACCCCCACAUCUCUGCGGGGUUCCUGGGAUGUCAAGACCAGGUAAGGUUCUUCGCGUUGCAUCGAAUUAAACCACAUGCUCCACCGCUUGUGCGGGUCCCCGUCAAUUCCUUUGAGUUUUAGCCUUGCGGCCGUACUCCCCAGGCGGGGUGCUUAAUGCGUUAGCUGCGGCACGGAUCGCGUCGAUAGCGACCCACACCUAGCACCCAUCGUUUACGGCGUGGACUAC
RNAcentral lists this unclassified non-coding RNA (380 nucleotides) under uncultured bacterium. RNAcentral describes it as "contains 16S-23S intergenic spacer region". The record is from RNAcentral.